This 445-nucleotide ribosomal RNA is filed under the name uncultured bacterium. Its description in RNAcentral is "partial 16S ribosomal RNA". It matches the Rfam family "Bacterial small subunit ribosomal RNA", at positions 354 to 796 of the family's 1533-position model. The record is from RNAcentral.
GUGAGGAAUAUUGGACAAUGGGCGCAAGCCUGAUCCAGCCAUGCCGCGUGCAGGAAGACGCAUCUAUGGUGUGUAAACUGCUUUUGUACGGGAAGAAACACUCCCUCGUGAGGGAGCUUGACGGUACCGUAAGAAUAAGGAUCGGCUAACUCCGUGCCAGCAGCCGCGGUAAUACGGAGGAUCCAAGCGUUAUCCGGAAUCAUUGGGUUUAAAGGGUCCGUAGGCGGUUUAAUAAGUCAGUGGUGAAAGCCCAUCGCUCAACGAUGGAACGGCCAUGGAUACUGUUAGACUUGAAUUACAAGGAAGUAACUAGAAUAUGUAGUGUAGCGGUGAAAUGCUUAGAUAUUACAUGGAAUACCAAUUGCGAAGGCAGGUUACUACUUGUGGAUUGACGCUGAUGGACGAAAGCGUGGGGAGCGAACAGGAUUAGAUACCCCGGUAGUCC